Molecule: long non-coding RNA, 1274 nt
Filed under: Rattus norvegicus (Norway rat)
Lineage: Eukaryota; Metazoa; Chordata; Mammalia; Rodentia; Muridae
Description: long non-coding RNA NONRATT025041
Source: RNAcentral
AAUUCCAAAUAGUUUUAUUUUUCAUGCACAAUUUUCCCCGGUUCAAAGGACUGUUACUUUAUUAUUGUAUUCAACACUCAUCGUGUGUAUUCCUACAGAUACUACCGACUCCAUACCAACAGUUUUUUUUUUUCUGGCAACAUUCAAUGAUCCAUAAAUGUAUAUAUAGAAAAUCUUCCUCCUGUGCCCCUUCCCCCUCUUUCACUCCUUCCCCUGUGGACACAUUCUAGUCCCGUGGCAGGGCUUUAUUUAAAAAGAUGGUCAAGUUUGUAAAAUAUUUGUUUGUGCUUUUUUUGUUGUUGUUGCUCCUCCUCCGUACUUAGGCCCACCACACGAGUUUACAGGUCUGUGACGAUAUCCUUAACUCAGUAAAGAUGGGAAAGGUAAAGAAAACAAGUAGACAGUAGGGGCUCUUGAGAGCAUUGAAAGGUAGGACAGCCAUUAUGCAGGAAGGUUAAAAACAGGUUCCAUCCAUCGCGGCCAUUUGUUUUUAGCCUACGUUUCAGAUGCAUUCAGUUAGCGGACGUCUUUAAAUGAAAUGCAUAUAUAUGUUAUGGACUUAAUAUCGUGCCCAGGUAUGAAGACCUCGUUCACUUUUGCAUAACACGUAGAGGAAAUAGCUAGGUGAUAGAUGUGCUACGUUUUCAAAAAUUGCCUGACCAAGUUACAAGGAAACCCCUACACGCUUGUCCUCUCCACCCACCUACCACCCUGGAAAUCCAAUUCUUCAGGAACCACCUUCCUUCCUAAUUCUGCUCCUUGCUUUGCAGAGAGCCAUCAUGGUCAUGUCAUUCUGAGGUCACAUGUAUAAAAUUAGCCUUUGUGUAUGUAUGCCAUUUAAAGGUUCCCCCAACCCCAGGGGAAAAAGGAAGUAUCAUACUAUCGAGGAGACAGAAGUUAUAAGAAAUGCAUUUCAAAAUUUGGUCCGGAGUUCCAAAAUCCCAAUUGUGGCCAUUUUAGUUAUUACCAUCCUAUUGGUUCAUCCAGUGUUAAUGCACUUUCCACAGUUAGACGUGAUGUUAGUGUUAGACAAACGGGUUUCAUUAUUGCCUUCUCAAUGUUAAUUUAUUGCAUGGUUUAUUCCUUUUCUUUACAGCCGAAAUUGCUUUAAGUGAUGGUUAAAAUGACAAAUUAAAAUGUUAAUUUUUAUCGAUGUGAUUUGUAAUUAAGAUAUUUUGAUUUCAAUAACAAAAAAUAAUACACGAUUUUAAUCUGUGGAAUGUGUUUCUGAUCAUUUGCAGUUAAGGAAUUUAAAUAAAUCACAUGUUAACGAC